GGAGAGGUGGCCGAGUGGUUUAAGGCGCACGCCUGGAACGCGUGUUGGGUGGCAACGCUCUCGGGGGUUCGAAUCCCCCCUUCUCCGCCA
RNAcentral lists this transfer RNA (90 nucleotides) under Candidatus Saccharibacteria bacterium TM7i. Its description in RNAcentral is "tRNA-Ser". It matches the Rfam family "tRNA". Rfam says of the family: Transfer RNA (tRNA) molecules are approximately 80 nucleotides in length. Their secondary structure includes four short double-helical elements and three loops (D, anti-codon, and T loops). The record is from RNAcentral. Lineage: Bacteria; Candidatus Saccharimonadota.